Long non-coding RNA from Gopherus flavomarginatus (Mexican gopher tortoise), 11310 nucleotides. RefSeq lists it as uncharacterized. The transcript has 4 exons. The record is from RefSeq and is a predicted model, not a curated record. NCBI's taxonomy places the organism in Eukaryota, Metazoa, Chordata, Testudines, Testudinidae.
UCUAAACAAGAUGGACAGAGGUGGGAGAAGUUUGGGGGCACUCAUUGAGCCUCGCAGGGACCUCCGGGGAGCAGCCCCGGGCACGGGGCGAAUAGCUGUGUGUCUGCUCCCCUGCUACAGUGUUGCCCCGCAGCCACACCGAGCCCCGCUGGCUCGCGAGCCGCCUUGUUACAAUGUGUCCAUUGCACAGGACGGGAACAAGGGGGAGAACGUAGCAGUUUUGCUUAUUAAAGGUCCUGGGGUUGCAACAGCCAAUCAGCGUGGAGCUUCCAUUUUGUUUGAGCGGUGGAAGGCAGCCGGGGAUCUCUCUUUUUGCCUCUUUUCCUGGGCGAGGAGCGUCUCGCCUGGCUUUGGGCUUCAUGUUGUUUUAGCUCAUCUUGUGCUUUUGGUUUGUAAUUUGGCCGUGGUUAGGUAAUUGGCUGGUUAAAGGCACCAGGAGCCCGCAGCCAAUCAGCGCGCAGCUUCCAUUUGGCUUGAGUUAUUAGACGCUGAUCUAAAAACAUCCUUCACCAGACAGCUAAGGAGAGGCCAACAGAUCAGGCAGCCAUUUUUCUGCAAUGGAAUUAAAUGGCCAACUGGGUUUUCCUUUGUUCCAAAAGGGGAUACUUUAUUUGCAUCCACACCAUCCAUUUCAGGACUUCUCAGUGUUGUAUUAAUGUCUGACAACAUUUUAAAGGACUCAAUGAAGAAGGAAGAUAAAAAAGAUUUGGAUUUUUCCUUAUGAUUUGGAAUCCAUCUUUGUCUUGUGUAACUAGGUCAUGGCACACCCUUAUGUCAGCAGUAACAAUUUUGAAUUCAAAAAUAAGUAAAUACAUAUUUUUGUUUGGGUUUUUUAAGCUUUAGAACUAUAUUAUGACUGAACAAUAAAUUUAAAAAAAAGUUCCUGUAUUAAACACUUAAUUCCUGGCCAUUUUUAUUAACUCCUUUGGUGCUUAUAAGGUAACGUUUUAAAUAUAGACUUAGGAAUAGUGAAUUCUGGCAUAAAAAUUUAAUAUGAUAAACUUUUUUUUUCUUUUACAUUGUAAGUACCCAAUCCAUUCUGUCCUUACUAAAGUGUAGUUUUCAUGUUAAUGUUACUGGAGUUGUCCUUAUUUCUGAGCCUUCAUUUGCAUGUCUUUAUGUUUUUUUGUCUGUUUUAGCUAAAACAAUUUUAUGCUUUUAAAAUAUUUUAGUUAUAAAGCAAAAUAUCUGGCGAGAGAUGUUUUUAAAAUGUUUACAUACAGUAAAUGUUAACCAGGUGUUUUCACACUAACAUGUACAGACUAAAAUAUUUGGGGGGAACAUUUUUGAGUUUGUGUAGUCUGGAGAGCCACUGGCUGUCCUUUUAAUGUAGAGUAAAUCUGUCACAGGAACCUAGAUUUAAGCCUCGAGUUCUAAGGAUACUGUCAGUCACCAUAACUGGACAACAUUUUCUAUAGCUUUUUGAUGCUACACCAUUGCCAGAUAAAGAUCUCUAAAUGUCUUAACAAGAUACGUUUUGGCUUGCAAAUUUACCAGAGAAGUGGGGAUACAGAUUAUAUAGCUCUAUAUUUAUAAAUCUGUUUUUUAAAAAGCUAAACAACACAACUUCACCUUCAGAACUGCAUUCAUCAGUGGUGAGCGGCGCUUGUUAGCAGCUCUGCUUUUUGUGGAGGGAGACUGCGGAUCCAUGCUGGCAUUACAUGGCUGUUAAAUUGUUCCACCUCCCCCCCUCCUCUACCUCCAAACAGAAAGAUUAUGAAGGAGGCUUUUAGAAGACGAAUAGACCAAAGGGAACCCCCUUACGUGUUUAUCCAUCUAAUUACUGAAGAAUCUGGCUCGCGAAAAGCAAAGAGGGACCGUUUUCAGAACGGUGACCACGAGCCUGUAAAGGUCUCACUAAAAUGCGCUGCAAAAUCCUUCCCCAGGAAAGGCAGCUACCUUCGAAACGGUCUGAAAAUAGAUCCACAAUGGAGGAGGCUGCCUCCAAAGGAGGGAAACUUUGCAGCCUGGAUUGUUAACAGUCGGGAAGAAGUGACGCAGUUGAUGUUCACAGCAGUUCUGUGCUUUCAUGCAGCUACUGAGCCCAUGCAACUAACUCCCAGCUGAUUUUUAUUUUAAAACCUGCUAAUGCACCAAGCGUGUAAUGCCUUUGCAGCCCAGUGCCACGAGAAAAACCGGGAGGCUGUCUGGCAUUUCAGCAUGCAGCUCCAGGUUGUACUCCAUAUUGUUUGUGAGAGGGGGUGGGGUAGUGGCUCGUAAUGGCUUCUUCUUUGUAAUGCUGUAUUCUUGUCAGGUUGGGGGGCAGCAGGACGUCUGUGUCUCCCAGUGUCUAGCGUUGUUUCUAUUUCCGAUCAUUGCAGGGAGAUGACUGGCCGCCCCCCCUUUGUGAGGCUUGUGGAAAGUGAAGAAAAGUAAGAGGGGGAUUGCAAGACAGCUCUAAUCCCCGAACUCGAGUAAGCUCUCUCCACACCUCCAGAGAGCUGCGGCCUGCUCAUUUUCUCCACUCCCUCUGAGAGGAGUCGGUGAUGAUGAGCAGAGCUCACUUUACUUCCCAACACCUUCCUUGCUGGUGAAGUCCUUCCUUUUCUCUCAGUGUGACUCCUCUCUCACCUGAUCAAUAAUAUGCUGAGUAUAUAUAUUUUGAGAUGGGGCAAAUGUAUCUGCAUGCAGUAUUGCCUGUGCUCCUCCCAUUCCUGGUCUCUUUCUCCUGAGAGGACUCUGUAAACCAGCCUCCUGAGAGAGAUGCUCUCAAGGACCAGGUAUUGGACUACAGGAGGGGGCUGGUGCCACAAAGGACUGGGGGAAUCAGUCUGUAGUGCCCCAAAAUUAUUCCUAUUCGACAGCUGUUCAGUUAUCCAUAUUAAAUAAGCUGAUGAUUUGAGCCCAUCUCCUAGUGUGUAGUUGUUAACAUCAUAGAAAAAAAACCAUGGCUGGCAUUUGUUGGCAGAGAAGUAAGGACUGAAUGGAGAGUAGGGAUGUAAAUGGUUAACUGGUAAGCAUUAGGCUUACCAUUAAACGACCUUAAUCAUUAACCUUGGCGGCCCCACACCAGCUGGAGCAACCUGAGCCCCGGCUGCCUUGUGCCUGCCAGCCAGAGGGACCCCAGCCAUGCCAGGCCGGCCGGAGCAACCUUGGUUAACCAGUUAAAGGAUAUAAUUUUAACUGGUUAACCUUUUUAACUGAUAUUUACAUCCCUAAUGGAGAGGUAGCUUGUACUCUCCUCUGUUCAACGCCUCCAGGGCAGGGUUGAGGGAUAUGUUCUGGGGGAGCGUGAAAGGAGGAGAAGCUUCCACAGCUGCUGCCUACAGUGUGCCUUCUCGGUGGACAGUGCUCUUCAGGUUCUAGGGCUGUGAGCACCACAUCUUUCACCAGUGCUAAUUCACUCAACACUGAGAUUUGGAAAGUCAUGUCAGCCACAUAGAUACUCUGGCCCACAUGAUUGAUACCCCUGAUUUAAGGGAUACCAGAGAAAAUAACCUGAAGAGGAACAGUAUGCCUUCUCUAUGAAUAGCUGCUUUCUAGGUAGAAGACAAUCUGUGGUUUAUGAGCCAGAUCUGUCCCAUCUACGUAAGAGUUGCUGAACGUUCCCUGCCCUUUUUUGCUGAGUUGUGCUUCUAGUUUGGCUGUCAGUUCCAUUUUUCUGCCACAGAUACUUGUCCAGUUUUCCCUUUUUUAGCUCUUUGAACAUUAUGGUAGCAUUUGGAUGGUUUAUAUGCAUAGUUUGCCUAAGCGUUUUGCACUGGGUUAGUGCAUGAGCCACUUUGAGCCAGAUUAAACAGGAACUCUGUUUCCAAGACAUGGAAACGAGUAUUUUCUCAUUGAAAUUUCCUUUUUCCACAUUACUUAAUAUUCUAGAAAAUUGUUUUAGCAGCUCUUUCUGCUGAAAAGAAUUGGACAGUGUAUUUCCUAUUUGGCCAAGUAACAAUUUAAUAAUGUUCUGGUUUGGGCUAAACAUUAUUUAAACUGAUGCAUGUAACAGCCACCUUUCAUUCUGGAUAAAUGUAAAAAAGCAAUUGAGCUCCUUUAUGGAACCAAAACAAACAAACAAAAAAACAACCACCAAUGAGGAGUCCUCGUGGCACCUUAGAGACUAACAACUGUAUUUGGGCAUAAGCUUUUGUGGGCUAAAUCCACUUCAUCAGAUGCACAAAGUGAAAAAUACAGGAGCAGGUAUAAAUACAUGAAAGGAUGGGGGGUUACUUUACCAAGUGUGAGGUCAGUCUAACAAGAUAAAUAAAUUAACAGCAGGAUACCAAGGGAGGAAAAAUCUCCUUUGAAGUGGUAAGAGAGUAGCCAGUUACAGACAGUUGACAGGAAGGUGUGAGUAAAAGUAGGGAGAAAUUAGUAUCGGGGAAAUUAAAUUUAGGUUUUGUAAUGACCCAACCAUUCCGUCAUUAUUCAGGCCUAAUCUGAUGGUAUCCAGUUUGCAAAUUAAUUCCAGUUCUGCAGCUUCACGUUGGAGCCUAUUUUUGUUGUUUUUUGUUGUUGAAGAAUUGCCACUUUUAGGUCUGUUAUUGAGUGACCAGAGAGACUGAAGUGUUCUCCUACUGGUUUUUGAAUGUUAUGAUUCCUGAUGUCAGAUUUGUGUGUAUUUAUUCUUUUGCGUAGAAACUGUUGGGUUUGGCCAACGUACAUGGUAGAAGGGCAUUGCUGGCACAUGAUGGCAUAUAUCACAUUGGCAGAUGUGCAGAUGAACGAGCCCCAGAUGGUGUGGCUGAUGCUGUCCCUUGAAUAGAUAUGUGGACAGAGUUGGCACCAGGGUUUAUAGCAGGGUUUGGUUCCUGGGUUGGUGUUUUUGUUGUGUGAUGUGUAGUUGCUGGUGAGUAUUUGCUUCAGGUUGGGAGGCUGUCUGUAGACGAGGACUGGCCUGUCUCUCAAGGUCUAUGAGAGUGAGGGACUGUCCUUCAGGAUAGGUUGUAGAUCCUUGAUGAUGCGCUGGAGAGGUUUUAGUUGGGGGCUGUAGGUGACGGCUAAUGGCAUUCUGUUACUUCCUUUGUUGGGCCUGUCUUGUGACUUCUCGGUACCCUUCUGGCUCUGUCAGUCUGUUUUUUCACUUCACCAGGUGGGUAUUGCCAUUUUAAGAAUGCUUGAUAGAGAUUCUGUAGCUGUUUAUCUCUGUCUGAGGGAUCAGAGCAAAUGCAGUUUGUAUCUUAGAGCUUGGCUGUAGACAAUGGAUCGUGUGAUUUGGUCUGGAUGAAAGCUGAAGGCAUGUAGGUAAGUAUAGCAGUCAGUAGGUUUCCGGUAUAGGGUGGUAUACUGUUUAGGAAAUGGACCUCUCAUGUGGACUGGUCCAGGCUGAGGUUGAUGGUAGGGUGGAAAUUGUUGAAAUCUUGGUGGAAUUCCUCAAGGGUCUCCUUCCCAUGGGUCCAGGUGAUGAAGAUGUCAUCAGUGUAGCGCAAGUAGAGUAGGGGCAUAAGGGGACGAGAGCUGAGGAAGCGGCGUUCUAAGUCAGCCAUAAAAAUGUUGGCAUACUGUGGGGCCAUGCGGGUACCCAUAGCAGUGCUGCUGACUUGAAGAUAUAUAUUGUCCCCAAGUCUGAAAUAGUUGUGAGUGAGGACAAAGUCAAAGUUCAGCCACCAGGUUUGCCGUGGUGGUAUCAGGGAUGCUAAUCCUGAUGGCUUGUAGGCCAGUUUUGUGUGGAAUGUUGGUGUAGAGAGCUGCUACAUCCAUAGUGGCUAGGAUGGUGUUUUCUGGAAGAUCACCAAAGGAUUGUAGUUUCCUCAGGAAGUCAGUGGUGUCUCGAAGAUAGCUGGGAGUGCUAUAGUGUAGGUCCCGAGGAGAGAGUCUACAUGGAGUACUACCCAAACCAUAGGCUCAAGGGAGGGCUUCAGUAAAAGCUGAACAAUGUGGCCCAAGAGGUUUCCCUGUGGACUGAUAUAGCAAAGGCAGGGGGUAGGGCAGUGACUGAUUAAGCUGGUUGUGAGAGAAGCAGAAAGAGACAACACAAAAACAGACAUAGAGAAGGCAGAACGAGCUUGAGGAGCAUGGCCCUGAGACAAAACCUAGAGAACUUUUUGGCUGAGCGAUGGUUGAAAGAGGCUUGGAACUGUGAGCAAAGAAACUCUCUCCUGUUUGAUUCCUACUGUGCUGAGGGAAACAAGACUUUGACCAUUCUUUGUAAAUAAACAGGACUGCAUACCAAAAACAAAGAAACAAAAACCCCAAAACCUGUCUCCGUCAUCAGUUUCUUCUCCUAACUGAAACAACCUGCAGGACUCUGGAAAUUAGCUAACCACUUGGGAGAAAAAGAGGUAACAAUAACUUGUACUGAUAGUGCUUUACACUGACAUAGUGCCUUUCAUGGGUGGAGCUUGAACUGCUUUACAAACAUUACAAUUCAUAGUAUCCCAUUGACCUAUUUUUGUAUGCACUUUACAGGUAGCACAAAAGUUAAAUGACUUAACCAAAUUUCUAUAGGCCUAGUUUAUACAAAUCUGCACUUUUACUGGUAUAGCUAAUUUCAUUUGUAGUGGGUGGCUUUACUAUACCAGUACAAAGCAGAGUUUCCCCAUUAUAGCUGCAUCCACACUAGGAAUGAUUUGCUGGAAUAGUAUUCUGAUAUUCCAAAAUCAGUAAGUGCUUAGCGUAGAGACAGCCUAGGUGGUUUUUGCUAGUUUAGCUAUACUGGUUGGUAUAACUAUCUUGGCAAAAUGUGUGUAGUGUAGACAAGGCCAUAGAGUGGUGGUGAUGCUGACAAAAAAAAAAAAUUGAUGCUGCUCCUGUGCAGAGACCACAGCCUACCAUGCUGACCAAUACUGUCUCACUGUUUACUUAUAUUCCCCCUAUAUGCAUCUGUGGUCUCUUAUGUUAUAUUUAGAUUGUAAACUGUUUGGGACUGGGACUGUCUCUCUGUUCUGUGUUUUUACAGCACCUUGAACAGUGCGGUCCUGGUCCAUGACAAGGGCUCCUGGGCGCUAUGGUCAUACAAAUAAUAACAGUAGAGCAGGGAAAUGAAUUCAGUAUCCAAACUUCUGCUCCCUCACUCUGAACACUAGCUCACACUUCCUGAAAGGCAUGUGGGAAAGAUGUUAAAUAUAAUACACUAUUAUCUUUCCUAAACAGGCUUCCUCCCUAAAAUUAAUGUGAAAAUAUAGCCUACCUUGAUGAGAGAACAUUCUGUGUGGUAAUACAGAAACUAGUUUGCUUUGCCACUCAUUGGCAGAAAGCAUAUCAACUUGUCAUUUCCCUGGAAGUAUAGGAUUUGAGGGAAAUAUUAAGAAACUGUUAAGUUCUUAAGUGUUGCUCAAUUACUGAGUCAGCAGUGUAGCACGAUAUUAAUAUAUUCCAUGAUUAGAUUUUUUUUUUAAGACAAUGCAAAAAUCUGUAAAUUGAAAAUUGUAGUCCUGAGGCAGGAGCUUCAGGAUUAAAUUAACAAUUCAAAUUAAAAACAAGUUGAGCUAUUUACAGGAUCAGAUUUUUUUUUUUAAUUUGAAGAUUAUAUGAGUCAAAAUAUACGUUUUUUAGAACAUUGUUACACAGAAGAAGAAAAUUCUGCCUCAGGACUGGUUGAAAAGAGUUUUGACUGUUUACUAAGUUUCUGUUUACCUUUUUAGCACCAGAUUUCAUUCCUGUUGAACUAUCAGAUUUCAGUGAGGCUCUGCACUUAAGACAGGGCUAUGCCUGACUGCAUCACAUCACAAGGUAUUGACAUGUAUGGGAAUUAUAUGUUCCUGUGUGUGAUUGAGAUAUAUAUAUAUCACACCAUGCUCUAAAACAUAUUUUAAUCACAUUAUUAAAGAGUUGUGCCUGAAUAUUAAAAAAAAAUGACUAUUUGGCAUCUAAUUUCUGGGAUAGAAUGCUUCCAGUUUCCUCUGCCUUGGCUUGAUACCUGCAACAAUUAUAAGAUGAAUUUCAAGUGCUGCAGGGUGGGAUUUACAGAUUACUCAUGUUAAUUCCAACCUAAAUUCUCCUCCUGGGCCUUCAGAGUAAAGUGGAUACAAAUAAAUGUUUUUAAUCAGAUUUUAUUUAAAUUUGUUUUUAUUUAAGUGUAUUUUUAUUUUUAAAUAUAAACAUGCUUAAAUUCAAUUUGAAAUUGACAACCUAUGUUAAGAGCUAAAUUUAUGUAAACUAUUAAAAUAAAAUUUAAAAAAUAUGCUUCAUCAAUGACCCGUCUUUUGAAUUUUAAUGAAUUAAAGGAUGUUACUUUUUAAAUUUAUAUAUAGAAUUAGGGCUAAACAUCUUUAACUUUUGAGAUCAACUCAAGCUUUAUAAAUACGUCACAAUAUCAUGCAUCUAAUUAAAUCUGUCUGUCUCUCUCUGGAUAUAGAUAUAUAUUACUUUCAGUCUUUACAAUGGAGAGAAUGCUGCUAUUUACAUUUUUCCAAAUGUAAGUUAUUUCAGUUUCUGUUGCACAGAAAAGAUUUUGCCUUAAUUACUUUUUGUUUUCAGUUUAGCUAGCAGGUGGAGAGAGAGUUAAGCACCUAAACUCCUGCAAAUCUCACUAGGCACCUGUCUGGAUCUUUAGGUACAUAUCCAUGGUGACAGGAAACGAUCCAUCAGUUCACUAUUUACUGUUCAUUCUUCCAUUCUUUUGCAUUUAAAACUGAUUUAUUAAACAUGUUUUGAUAAACUUACUUUUUCUUGUUAUAAUCCAGCACAUUUAAGGAAGUUUUAUUUAAUAAAUAGAUGCGUCUGACAAAGUGUGAAUUCACCCAUGAAAGCUUAUGCUCCAAUACAUCUGUUAGUCUGUAAGGUGCCACAGGACUCCUUGUUGUUGUUUGUUUAAUAAAAACAUUUUUAAAAUGUCAUUUUUGUAUAUUUUAAUCAAAUUUCUAUUUCUGUUCAAAUGCAGCUUGAUACAAAUAGCAAGUAAAAAAAAUCUAAUAAGAAAUGAAUCAUUCACCAUUCUCUAAUAUAAAAUAAAAAUUAAAACUCUGAAUAAAUGUAUAUUAAGCUACAUAAUUACUUAAGUAUAUAUGUAAAGAUAUAGUGCUGUCCUUGCUAGUGCAAAAAACAAACAAAAAAACACCACCAAAUUUGGUGCAUAGGCAAUCAAAUGUGUUUUUAAUUAUUAUACCAACCAAUGAAAGAGGUUUAUUCUUUAGAAAAAUAAAAAGUACAAAUGCAAAACAAGAUUAAAUUCAGUUAUGUAAAUCAGUUUUCUGUUUGCUGAUCUGAUUUUUAAAUCACUUUUAUUAACAUCAGUCCAUGCCAUUUGAGUGUAUUUACCCUCUGACUUUAGGCAGACUCUGCCAGCUCAGUGUAUGAAAGCACAAGGUCUUUGUCAGACUGCAUUUUGCUGUUGUAGGAAAGCACAAGGUCUUUCAUACAACAGCAAAAUGCAGUCUGACAAAUCAAACCUGCAAAUUUUGAAUUUAAAAAAAAAACUGCAAUCGUGUAGCUUUUUAUUUUUCGAAACUUAAUACUAAUAACUGGUAGGUUUUUUGUUGAUGUAUUUUAAUUUUUUUAGUGACUUCAGUACUGCUGAAAAGUAUGGGAUUGACAGCUCUUGACCACUGAGUUCUCUUAUUGAUCUACUGUAAAGCAAUAUCCUUGGCACUGGCAUUACAAACUUCCCCACGGGGUCCUAAUCAUUUGCCUCAACCUUAACAUGAUGUGCUUUCACUACAUCUAGGGGCAGAGGAGUUCAGUCUUUAUGCCCCAUCAAUCCCUGUCCUCUGCUGAAACUGUCAAUUAGUGCCAAUUGUGAUGAGGGCAGCAAUCACUGAAUACUGCUCUAAGACUACUAAACAUCUCUCAUUGUGUACCCAAGAUUAUAUAAUGACUCUCAGUAGCUACCAGUCUGGGCUAGAUUUGAACUGGCAACCCAUAAGUGAAAGGCUCUGUAUCCCAAUGCAAAGAACCAAAUAUCUGUUUAAAGCAAAAAUCUAUUCCUUAUUGCCUUUUUAUAUUAAUUACAACAGAAUUUUUAAGUGCAAUCCCAGCAUCCUCUUCCCACUUAGAAUGGUAAUACACAAAAUUUCUCUCUUCUUCCACUGUUUUCAUGUCACAUUAUCUACCUAAAAAAAAUGCUGAUUUUUCUUUCCAAGAAAAAGACAAUAAUUCAGGUGGAUUGCUGUGUAGUAAUACCUGCUUAACUGUUUGACUUUAACUUCAGUUUGUAAAGUAGAUAAAACAUUUUAAAAUGAUAGGGUUCCAGCAUGGUUCUUGUGGAAGUGUGGACACUGUUUUCUCUUUUCCUCCUGAUAACUGUCACCAAAUCACAAUAGACAGUUCCCCUCCACUAAAUACACUACAGCAUGGUUUUAUGACACCAGCAGGCAAAAAAUCCUUCUCCACCUUCGUUAAAGAACCCCUCUUCUAAUAUUAAUUUUUAAACAUGGCUAUACCUAUCAUCAUUUUGCUUCUAGUGUAAACAGGACCCCAAUUUAAUGUACAGUCUGUUUCAUUUGUAUCUUGUGGCAAACAUAAACCAAGUAUCAAUUGAUAAAGUGGUGAGCAGUGUACAUUUAAUUUGGUAACCGAUAUUAGUGGUAACAAAAAUGCAAUAUAGACAAAACAUUUUACAUACCACUGAUCAGCAGAUUCUUGUUUUUUCGAGUCACUGCAUGUGUUUAUAUGGUUAGUGCUUCACAGUAUGUAGUGGAUAAGAGUUGAGCUGUAAUGUACUGGUGCUAGACUUGUUAUAUCUGCAAUAAAUAAAUAAAUGGGAUAAACACAGGUUUUAAAAAUCAUAUUUGCAGUUUGUUAAUAAAGGGCCAGGCCCUGCUUCCACUGAAGUCAGUGGAAAAACUUCCACUCAGGAUCAGACUCAUAAAUGCACACACUUGUAUUACCACAACUAGAAAAAAUACUUAGCAUUUAUAUACUACUUUAUGUGCAAAACAUUUUGCAAACAUUAAUUUAAAAUAAUGAAUGUAACCAAAAUAUUUAAGAGUUACAUUUUUCAAAUGUCAGGUUGACUAUUACUUUAAAAUACUAUAUCAAGUUUAGAGUAGACUAAAUUGCUCACUUGUAUUAUAUUGAGUCCUGAAUCUAAAAUGCUUCCCCUAAAACAAAAUAUAAGAAGUGUAGAUGUGGUUUUUGUAAACAAUCAAACAAAUCCUACCUUGAAUGAGUUAUUGAAUUACAACUCUAUGAAUUACAGUAAUUCAUUCAAGGGACAUGAAGCAGCAUAUUUAUGGGUUAUAACAUAUCUGUUGAUUUUUGAGAUGGGUAUAAAGGCCUGAUCCAGCAAAGUGCUGAGCCAUUCCUGGGCAGUGCUGAGUUCCUUCAACUGAAGUCCAUACAAGUUGAGCCCCUUACCAUCUUGCAGGAUCAGACUUUAAGAGCAUGUUUAGGUCUGGAAUGUUCAUAAGGUUUUGUAUUCUCUUUUGACAGAUGUAUAUACUCUAAAUGUUCAUGUUAUGUUUUCUCAAAAAUAAAAUGUUAACAUCAUAUAGGAGUGAA